AACGAACGCUGGCGGCAGGCUUAACACAUGCAAGUCGAACGCGUGUAGCAAUACACGAGUGGCGCACGGGUGAGUAACGCGUGGAUAUCUGCCUUUUGGUUCGGAAUAACCCCGGGAAACUGGGGCUAAUACCGGAUGGUUCCUACGGGAUAAAGAUUUAUCGCCAAAAGAUGAGUCCGCGUACGAUUAGCUAGUUGGUGAGGUAAUGGCUCACCAAGGCGACGAUCGUUAGCUGGUCUGAGAGGACGAUCAGCCACACUGGGACUGAGACACGGCCCAGACUCCUACGGGAGGCAGCAGUGGGGAAUAUUGGACAAUGGGGGCAACCCUGAUCCAGCCAUGCCGCGUGAGUGAUGAAGGCCUUCGGGUUGUAAAGCUCUUUUGGCGGGGACGAUGAUGACGG
This 403-nucleotide ribosomal RNA is filed under the name alpha proteobacterium Ellin7189. RNAcentral's name for it is "bacterial SSU rRNA". It matches the Rfam family "Bacterial small subunit ribosomal RNA", at positions 29 to 457 of the family's 1533-position model. Lineage: Bacteria; Pseudomonadati; Pseudomonadota; Alphaproteobacteria. The record is from RNAcentral.